Molecule: unclassified non-coding RNA, 381 nt
Filed under: soil metagenome
Description: partial contains 5.8S ribosomal RNA, internal transcribed spacer 2, and large subunit ribosomal RNA
Rfam family: 5.8S ribosomal RNA (bases 1-119)
Source: RNAcentral
GAUGAAGAACGCAGCGAAUUGCGAUAUGUUAGUGUGAAACGCAGAACAGUGAAUCAUCGAGACUUUGAACGCACCUUGCGCUCUCCGGUCUUCCGGAGAGCAUGCCUGUCUGAGUGUCGCUAAACCCCCAUAGGCCGAAAGGUCUGAUUCGGAUGUGUGCCGUGUCGGCUCCGUCUAAGAUGCAAUCGGAACGUGGCCGGCGCUGCGUCUUCCGGGACAUUUGAUCGUAAUUACCUUCAUGCGUCUCUUUAGGAAGAUGUCGGUCGUUGUGCUCCCCUCUGUGGAAUGCCCUCGUGGCGCCACGGUGUGGUCUCUUUAGUGACGUGGCCUCAGAUCAGGUAGGACUACCCGCUGAACUUAAGCAUAUCAAUAAGCGGAGGA